GAUGAACGCUGGCGGCGUGCCUAAUACAUGCAAGUCGAGCGAACGGACGAGAAGCUUGCUUCUCUGAUGUUAGCGGCGGACGGGUGAGUAACACGUGGAUAACCUACCUAUAAGACUGGGAUAACUUCGGGAAACCGGAGCUAAUACCGGAUAAUAUUUUGAACCGCAUGGUUCAAAAGUGAAAGACGGUCUUGCUGUCACUUAUAGAUGGAUCCGCGAUGCAUUAGCUAGUUGGUAAGGUAACGGCUUACCAAGGCAACGAUGCAUAGCCGACCUGAGAGGGUGAUCGGCCACACUGGAACUGAGACACGGUCCAGACUCCUACGGGAGGCAGCAGUAGGGAAUCUUCCGCAAUGGGCGAAAGCCUGACGGAGCAACGCCGCGUGAGUGAUGAAGGUCUUCGGAUCGUAAAACUCUGUUAUUAGGGAAGAACAUAUGUGUAAGUAACUGUGCACAUCUUGACGGUACCUAAUCAGAAAGCCACGGCUAACUACGU
RNAcentral lists this ribosomal RNA (496 nucleotides) under uncultured bacterium. Its description in RNAcentral is "partial 16S ribosomal RNA". It matches the Rfam family "Bacterial small subunit ribosomal RNA", at positions 28 to 506 of the family's 1533-position model. The record is from RNAcentral.